Molecule: RNA transcript, 1961 nt
Organism: Ruditapes philippinarum (Manila clam)
Lineage: Eukaryota; Metazoa; Mollusca; Bivalvia; Venerida; Veneridae
Gene name: acanthoscurrin-2-like
Exons: 8
Source: RefSeq, a predicted model, not a curated record
GGAAGAGCGAGAGGUGCUAGUAAUUUUUGGGUGGACGCCAACAAGGCAAUGAUUCAAACCUGUCCCAAAAUUUGGACUUUGGGGAUCAUCAGACAUAAAACCAAGUAUGGGUGGCGGCCGUGGAGGAAUGGGCGGUGGUAACUUCGGAGGACGAGGCGGCGGUAUGGGUCGUGGCGGCAUGGGCGGUGGAGGUAUGGGCGGCGGUGGAGGUAUGGGAGGUGGCGGAGGUAUGGGAGGCGGUGGCAUGGGUGGAAACAUGGGUGGUGGUAUGGGAGGAGGAAUGGGUGGUGGAAAUAUGAAUCAAGGAGGUUUUGGUGGAAACCAAGGUGGUGGAUUUGGUGACAACAUGGGAUUUAUGGAUGAUAACAUGGGAGGUAUGGGAAAUCAGGGAAUGAUGUUUGGAAAUGAGCCAACAACCAGUACCCAGGUCACAAUACCAAAGGAUAUGGCUGGAGCUAUCAUAGGUAAAGGAGGUUCCCGAAUCAUGGAGAUCCGUCACCAGUCAGAGGCCCAGAUUGUCAUUGACGAGGCCCUGCCCGGAUCUAAUGACAGAAUCAUCACAAUAACUGGUACAGAGGAACAAAUACAGAAUGCACAAUAUCUCUUACAAAUGAGUGCUCGGGAGCUUCAAGCUGGGGCCAGGGCCAAAAACCAUUAGUUUAGGGGGUGUGAAGAAGAUAGCAGCUAACAAGUUUUAACAUGAGAAAUGAACAGAAUGAUGGUGUAACCACAGAAAAGAGUCUGCUUUUGGAAAACUUGCAAGCAUUAUUUCCCCCACAGACAUGUUUGAAAUACUAAAUAGACCUACAAGGAAUCAAACAUGAUGUUACACCGCCAUUGUUCUUCAUUUUUACUUCAUUGUAAAUGUAUCAUUAACUAACUUUGAUCCUGGUUCUUCACCAAUGACACUUGUAUAUAUUAAUCAUGUUGUUCUGUUUUGUGGAAAAUAACCCAGCAUAGCUUCUUUUUUUUUAACAGAAUCAUCAUCCGGUUUUAAUGACAUUGUAUUACAGCUAUAAGCUGUUAGAUUAAACAUUAGGUCAUUGUUGCCAUGGAAACAUGUCCUUGUUACAGGAAUCCCUGAAUUUUAUAUUAGACUCAUACCUGAAUCAUGGAACUCAUAUUUUGUAUUCUUCAUUUUCUUGCUUAAAAAUCAACAUAAUGGACUAAAGGAUCAUUUGUGUAAAUUUUCAAUUCUGUACAGGGUGUGUUAAGAACUCUGGAUUUUUUUUAUACGAGUGUUUUUUUUCUAUCUCCCUCCGGUUUUGUUGACGUCAAAGUUAUAUUAGGGUAAACUUGAUGUAGAUGUUGCCAAGGUAACUGCUGGAUUCUGUGAAUCACCUUUUGCAGGUAAAAUACAAAUUAGCGACUGUAUUUUGAUUAGUGUUAAGACUUUUUUGUCAGUUUUUGUAUAAGGUGAGGAUUAAUUUGAUACAAGGUGUGAAAUUGGUUGACAUGGAAAUAUAUACUCAUUAGCCACCAGCAUAGGUCAUGUGUUGAGUGCAGCAAAAUGUAUUAAUCUGUCAUACCAAAUAACAGAAAAACAACCUUGAAAAUUUUCCAUCACAAUUUUUCCUCUGAAAGUCAGUAGGACAUGGGUAGAUAACUUUAAUGUGUGUUGAAAUUUUAGAACAAAUAGAAAAAUGAUACAGAAGUUUAGAACGAAAGAAAAAUACACAAAUAAAAUUUAUGAGAUUAUUUUAUCUGGAAUGUUUUUGGGCCUUUUAUUUUUACUUUUAAUUUCACAUUACAAUAAUGUAUUCAAACAUAGUUACCGUAUAGGCUUGUAGUUGGACUUGUGUUUAAUUUGGAAGACACUGAGAUAUAUUGACGUCCUUUUUUGUUUAUGUAUACCAGUCUUGGGGAUAUUGUUUAGUUCGAACAAAUAUGAAGUAAAAUGCCAAUUCUUUAUUUCAUUUUGUUGUAAAUUUUUCUUAUCUGAAUAAAAUUGUGGAAUACAA